GGGGCAUUAGCUCAGCUGGGAGAGCGCUUGACUGGCAGUCAAGAGGUCAGCGGUUCGAUCCCGCUAUGCUCCA
This 73-nucleotide transfer RNA is filed under the name Candidatus Cloacimonadota bacterium. RNAcentral's name for it is "tRNA-Ala". It matches the Rfam family "tRNA". From Rfam's summary of the family: Transfer RNA (tRNA) molecules are approximately 80 nucleotides in length. The record is from RNAcentral. RNAcentral also lists the same sequence under 2 other names. Lineage: Bacteria; Pseudomonadati; Candidatus Cloacimonadota.